GGCGGCGUAGCUCAGAUGGCUAGAGCAUGCGGUUCAUACCCGCAGUGUCGUUGGUUCAAUUCCGACCGCCGCUACCA
This 77-nucleotide transfer RNA is filed under the name Clostridiaceae bacterium. Its description in RNAcentral is "tRNA-Met". It matches the Rfam family "tRNA". Rfam says of the family: Transfer RNA (tRNA) molecules are approximately 80 nucleotides in length. Their secondary structure includes four short double-helical elements and three loops (D, anti-codon, and T loops). The record is from RNAcentral. RNAcentral also lists the same sequence under 1 other name. Lineage: Bacteria; Bacillati; Bacillota; Clostridia; Eubacteriales; Clostridiaceae.